GCGGUGCAUUAGCUAGUUGGUAAGGUAACGGCUUACCAAGGCGAUGAUGCAUAGCCGAGUUGAGAGACUGAUCGGCCACAAUGGAACUGAGACACGGUCCAUACUCCUACGGGAGGCAGCAGUAGGGAAUCUUCCACAAUGGGCGCAAGCCUGAUGGAGCAACACCGCGUGAGUGAAGAAGGGUUUCGGCUCGUAAAGCUCUGUUGUUGGAGAAGAACGUGCGUGAGAGUAACUGUUCGCGCAGUGACGGUAUCCAACCAGAAAGUCACGGCUAACUACGUGCCAGCAGCCGCGGUAAUACGUAGGUGGCAAGCGUUAUCCGGAUUUAUUGGGCGUAAAGCGAGCGCAGGCGGUUGCUUAGGUCUGAUGUGAAAGCCUUCGGCUUAACCGAAGAAGUGCAUCGGAAACCGGGCAACUUGAGUGCAGAAGAGGACAGUGGAACUCCAUGUGUAGCGGUGGAAUGCGUAGAUAUAUGGAAGAACACCGGUGGCGAAGGCGGCUGUCUGGUCUGCAACUGACGCUGAGGCUCGAAAGCAUGGGUAGCGAACAGGAUUAGAUACCCUGGUAGUCCAUGCCGUA
Molecule: ribosomal RNA, 579 nt
Filed under: uncultured bacterium
Lineage: Bacteria
Description: bacterial SSU rRNA
Rfam family: Bacterial small subunit ribosomal RNA
Source: RNAcentral